GUCAAAUCUCUCAAAGCACCUGGAAGGAAAAAUGAUAGCUUUGCUUCAGCUUGUUUUCUUUUCAGCAACUUUUGGAGGUGUCCAAUCGAGGGUCCAGCUCGUGGAGUCUGGAGGAGAUGUGAAAAGGCCCGGAGAGUCCAUUCGCCUCUCCUGUCGAGCCCUCGGGAUCAACUUUUCGGGCUAUUACGUGCAUUGGGUGAGACAGGCUCCUGGGAAGGGCUUGGAAUGGGUGGCCUACAUAGGAGACAGUUCAGCUGUACUUCACUACUCGGAUAAAGUGAAGGGAAGAUUCACCAUCUCCAGGGGCACUGGCAACAACUAUCUGCAAAUGAACAGACUUAAACCCGAGGACACGGCUGUGUAUUACUGUGCAAAAGACACAGUGAGAGGAAGUGAAUCUGAAACCAGACAAAAACCCUCCUUUAAUCAAAACAGAAUAGUUGCAUUCCCUCCAACGUUCCACAUGAAAAUAGGGACAUUCUAUUAG
Non-coding RNA from Zootoca vivipara (common lizard), 487 nucleotides. NCBI's taxonomy places the organism in Eukaryota, Metazoa, Chordata, Lepidosauria, Squamata, Lacertidae. The record is from the annotation of a RefSeq genome assembly.